AAAUGAAUAGACGGGGACCCGCACAAGCGGUGGAACAUGUGGUUUAAUUCGUAGCUAAGCGAAAGACCUCACCGAGGCUUGACAUCCUGGGAAUCUGCUAGAAACAGCAGAGUGCCUUCGGGAACCCAGUGACAGGUGUUGCAUGGCUGUCGUCAGCUCGUGUCGUGAGAUGUUGGGUUAAGUCCUUCAACGAGCGCAACCCUCAUUGUAUGUUAAUUUACAUGCGAAACUGCCCUGGUUAACGGGGAGGAAGGUGGGGAUGACGUCAAGUCAGCAUGGCCCUUACGCCUCGGGCCACACACGUGUUACAAUGGCCAGAACAAUGAGUCGCAAUACCGCGAGGUGGAGCUAAUCUCCAAAUCUGGCCCCAGUUCGGAUUGCAGGCUGAAACUCGCCUGCAUGAAGUUGGAAUCGCUAGUAAACGCAAAUCAGCACGUUGCGUUGAAUACGUUCUCGGGUCUUGCACACACCGCCCGU
This 477-nucleotide ribosomal RNA is filed under the name uncultured bacterium. RNAcentral describes it as "bacterial SSU rRNA". It matches the Rfam family "Bacterial small subunit ribosomal RNA", at positions 903 to 1397 of the family's 1533-position model. The record is from RNAcentral.